This is a non-coding RNA of Microcebus murinus (gray mouse lemur), 302 nucleotides long. The record is from RefSeq and is a predicted model, not a curated record. NCBI's taxonomy places the organism in Eukaryota, Metazoa, Chordata, Mammalia, Primates, Cheirogaleidae.
GGUCCUUUGGGCAGUCCUACUUUCCCUGAGCAGAAACUGUGGAAAAGAGGCAAACCAGAAUUCUAGAGGAGCUGUUCCAAUACAGGAUGAAUUUUUCAUAAGAAGCAAGUGGGUCCAAGAGGUGCAAGGGAUGGCUAUAAUAGAUGUGACACCUCACCAGCUUCUCCCCUUCAGUCCUGAAGACUCAUUCCCCCAGCUGCCAGGACUGUUGGCUGCCAACAGCUAGCAGAUAAUGCACUAACCUGAUUAAAAGGCCGGAUCUACAGCUAUCCCAUUACUGGGCAUCUACCCAAAAGAACAAA